Molecule: long non-coding RNA, 544 nt
Organism: Gossypium raimondii (Peruvian cotton)
Lineage: Eukaryota; Viridiplantae; Streptophyta; Magnoliopsida; Malvales; Malvaceae
Exons: 5
Source: RefSeq, a predicted model, not a curated record
UUUUUCUUCCUUUUCUCUUUCUAAGUUUUUUUUUCUCUACUUCUCUUCUCUUUUCUCUCUCUCACUUUAUUUCUUUCUACGCCUCUAAUCUCAUCUUCUCAUUUUAACUCUCAAUUUAAUUUUUUCGUUUUUUCCCAUUUCAAGUUGUUCCUCCUUAAUUCUUCCACUAAAAUCAACUGGUGGAGUUUUGUUGCCCAAAUCAGCUGUCAAGUUUGAGAGGUAUUUGAUGGGGAGUUAGUUUCGGUCGGUGCCGAAGUAGGAAAAGUGGAGCCUGGAAAGAAGGUUCUUUUCUCGGAUAUAAAAGCUUAUGAGGUGGAUUUAAGAAGAGAUACUAGGCAUGUGUUUUGUAAAGAGAGUGACUUGUUAACUGAAGUUGAUUGAAGUUUUUUCUAGUCUUUUGUUUUAAGAUGAAGAAUCAAUUGUAUUUCGAAAUUGAGCAGUUAUUGCAAUUAUAAUGUUGUUCAGUUGUUGCUACAUUUAUGUUAGUAACUUAUUAGAGAUGAUAAUAAUUGUUUAAAUGUUAAGAAAGCUUGGUGUUCUUAAA